Molecule: ribosomal RNA, 494 nt
Filed under: uncultured bacterium
Lineage: Bacteria
Description: partial 16S ribosomal RNA
Rfam family: Bacterial small subunit ribosomal RNA
Source: RNAcentral
GACGAACGCUGGCGGCGUGCUUGACACAUGCAAGUCGAACGGAAAGGCCUGCUUUCCCUUGUGGAUUGCGGGUACUCGAGUGGCGAACGGGUGAGUAACACGUGAGUGAUCUGCCCCCAACUUGGGUAUAAGCCUGGGAAACUGGGUCUAAUUCCCGAUAGGACUGCAGGGUGGUGCCUGUGGUGGAAAACGAUUUUCUAGUGGUUGGGGAUGAGCUCGCGGCCUAUCAGCUUGUUGGUGGGGUAAUGGCCUACCAAGGCGGCGACGGGUAGCCGGCCUGGGAAGGUGGACGGCGACAUUGGGACUGAGAUACGGCCCAGACUCCUACGGGAGGCAGCAGUGGGGAAUAGUGCACAAUGGGCGGAAGCCUGAGGCAGCGACGCCGCGUGGGGGAUGACGGCCUUCGGGUUGUAAACUCCUUUCGACCGCGAGGAAGCCACCUGGUUGGAAGGGUGGUGACGGUAGUGGUAGAAGAAGCACCGGCUAACUACGUG